Molecule: long non-coding RNA, 24771 nt
Filed under: Triticum aestivum (bread wheat)
Lineage: Eukaryota; Viridiplantae; Streptophyta; Magnoliopsida; Poales; Poaceae
Description: long non-coding RNA (TAES_LNC022206)
Source: RNAcentral
CCAUCCCAUGUGUACAAAGCAUAUCCCUUCCUCAUUCCUCUGCUCCACCAUCUUUGAGAAGGGAAAAAUAGAUGGAGAGGCUGUACCAAAUUGAUUGGCCUGCUCGUCCAUGUGAUGGGGAGUGCCGGAGUGGCUGCACCAAAUCGAGUGGCCUGCCCGUGCAUCAACAAAGCUGGGAAGGAGAUUAUCUUGGAGGCCAGAUCUGAGCGAGGUCGGGGCACGCGUUCCAGCCGCGGAUUUGGCGCUCCCUAGCAGCGAGGCAAGGCGGUCGCCGGGGAGGCCACUGAAGAAUAUGAGUGAUCCGUAGUUGGUAACUUCCCUAAUGGCGCUGCUAUCCUGUUCGUGUCACUGGGCCAAGGAUUGUGGUGUCGGGUUUGACGGCCAUGUUCUUCAUAGUGUUCCUCAUCUUAUGUGGCAGAGUAGUGAUGGGUAUGACUGUCUUACUACUCUCCCAUCCUCCUCAUCAUUAUCUUGUUGGGCUCAGUGUACACGUACUUUAAAAUUUCAUUUACUUAGUUGAUCUGUUAAAUUUAUUCAGAGGUAAGGUUGAGUUACCUAGUUCUGGUAAAUUAUAAUACAGACGAUGAACUCAUAUAUUUUGUUGUUGUUCAUGUAAGGAUCAUUUAGGAUAUGAAUUAUAGAGUUAUUUAACUUUUCAUUGGUGUGCCUUGCAUUAUUUUAAUGAAUUGAACUUAUAUUACUUUUUCUGUUGACAUUCUGCCAACUUUGAUUAUUGUCUCUUCAACUCAUCCGUAUCAAUUAUACGAAGUUUCGUCUAGCAAAAGUUAUAUCCAUCUACUACGUAUAACACUUAUAUAUCUUUUAUUUCAUUGUCUUGUCUGCACUUCUUAACAUGUAUAUACAUGAAAGUAGUGUGAGGAAAUAUUAAUCUGCAUUAGCAUGUGAUUGGUCUCUUCACAUUUGUAGCAUGUGAUCGGUCUCUUUACAUUCGUAGAAAGUCCACAGGUGGAGGCGAGUCAUGGGCUCCCUAGUUGCUACUGCUGUCAAGUUCCACCUAUGUGAUUCGAAAAAAACUUCCACCAAUGUAAUGUGCUACUACUUUGCAUCUUUCCUACUUCCUCCACACUGUUCUUCACAGGUAUGCUUCCCGCCUCUAGUUGGAUAAAAGGUAUAUUCUCUAUUUGUUGUACCAUAUAAUAGCAAGUUAUAUCAAUGAUAUGUGUAGUUAAGACAAACGAAGAAGGUUCACAUGUAUUAACUGAAGUUGGUUCAUGUGUGUUAAUUGAUAUGCAAUAGAUUUUUCGCAUGUGUUGUAGGCGAUGCCUAUAACACUGGAGCUUUUCUCAUUAUUCUCUUCAACUGAAACAGCUGUAGGAUGGAAGAGAUGUUACCAAGAACACAACUCACAAAAGUGCAUGUCUGAAUGUAUUUCAACCUUAUAUACUAAGUGUCCUCCCUAUAUUGAUCAUGUGAUGUAUUCUUUCUCUAUCCCGGUAAACAUAAAUUAGUUGCCUUUCAAUAUUGUAAAAUAUUUGAUGCUUCUCAUAUUUUUCGUCCAAUGAGUUCAGCAAUUUUGCUACCACUGUUAUUGGUGCAGAGUAAAUAUAAUAUGAAAGUUCUUGUUGAAAUUAGUAGAAUAUGCUUUCGAGGUGUUAUAAUUUCUAGAUAUAUACCACAAUUGUCACAGUAAUACUUGUCAGUUCCUUUGUAGUUAGUUUGUGACUAUCACAACAUGUUCAUGUACAUAUUUUUUUUGUAACAGAUCUAUUACAGCUUGUCGUGAAAAGUAAAAUCCUAAAAAAGUCACCGGAAAACUUUAAAGAUAGCAACCCAAAGAAGUUGGGAGACAUAAAUAAUUCAGAUAUGGUACCAUUAUAACUGAUAUGACUCAAUUAUCAGUACAUGUGAGUCUCAUUUUCCUCCAAAAGUGGUGAUAUCAUAUCUUAGAGGAGUCUGAAUCAUUACCUGACUUGUGGUUUUCGUGCCUCAUUGCACUAAGUUCUUGUAAUGUUCUCCUAUGUAAAAUAUUUCUAGCGCUCCUUGUGUGUUGCUAUCUAUCUCCAUCAUUUUUGGCGAACUUUCUUCUACCGAGUGCCUACAUUUGUGGAGUUAGUCAAGUAAAAUUAUUACUUUACAAUGAUGAAUAAACAUGAGUCACGAUUCAUUUGUUGAUAAAUAAUUAAAGAUAGUGUUCCAUAUGUAAGGAAGUUCUCGAGUUUCAUCUAUGUCUAGAUCUGUAUAUAUUCCUGUGAGGCUGGUUUACUUUAGGUACAACCCUAUUAAAUAAAUGACAAAUCUUUUAGAUUUCUUGCAACCAUAGUCUAGCGCCGGUGUUAUCACCCGUAAAGAGGUUAAGCUGAAAAAUGCAAAUCUUAGCCAGAGUGGUGGAAGUCCAAUUAAAGUUUCAAUAAUGAGUAUGCAUCAUGCUUUCUCUGUUAUUAGAAUCAGUCGUUUUUCAUGGUUAGAAAUAUUAAUUAGAUUAUUUAAAACUACAGAGUAUAAGCAUACCUGAGCAUUAUUUAACUUUAUCUGCUGGUUUUGUAUUGUGUCCUUGGUGGAAAACUCGGAGUAGUAAUCUGGAAAACAUUCUGAUGGUCGUUUCACCCCCUUUACCUUUGUAUUGUACGCCGAAAAAAAAUCAUUUCAUUUCUCAAUGGGUGAUAUUUUGUGGAUUCCACAACCUUAAAAGUUGAUAGUGUAUAAGUGGAUACUUCUGAUAGUAGCAUGAUGUUUUUAAUAUUGAUAGUAAGAUGAUUUGUUUGGCCAUGUCAAACCAUACAGAAUAUAAUUAGCAAUUUUUGUUUAAAUUGGUGGGGCAGUCUGUAAUAGAAUGUUUAAUGAGCAAACAAUUUUGUCCAUCAAAAUCAUAUCGAGGCUCAUGAACUGAUCGGUUGCAUGAUUGAGCGAAUUGCAUAUGAUCGGUACUUUCACUUGAAUGUUCUAGUUUGUCCUGUUGUUGAUAAGCACUAAGCUUCUUGCACGCCAUAGUUUUUUGGCUGCAAAAGGAUUCGAAAAUUGUUAGUCACUACCUAUGCAGUUGUUAUCCUGAUAAGUGAUGAGCCUUGAUAAUUCAGGUGAGAGGCAGCUCAGAAGGUCUAUGUUGACUUCAUUGGGCGUCGAGUUGCAGUCACAUCACAGUUUUGGCGGUUUCAGAUGUUUGUCUGGCGUCACAGAACCCGUAGUCUUCGAUUUUGUUAGUGGUGCUCUGGUCUGGUAGCAGAUUUGGUAGCCUUCAUGAAUCGGAAGACCUUGAUUUUGCUGAUGGUUCUCUGGUCGGGUAGUAGAUUUGCUAGUUUGUCCAGUUAAGACUCUUGGGCGUGUGCUUGGUGUGUCUGGUUGGGUGUUGUUCUAUUUUCUUUCCGCACUGACUCCAUGUGGAGUUUUUUUCUCCCUUUCGAUCAAGAAUCCAUGUAGAGUUUCGUUGAUUGAGUCCGUCCCUGGGUUGUAGUUUUUUGUGCAUGUGCCCGAUUUGGAAGUAGGUGCACGUGAGGAUUCAUAUCUUGUUUUGUCUCUUGGAAGGAUGUGCACGUGAGGAUUCGUAUCUUCUUUUGUCUCGUGAUAAUGGUUGUACGUGUCAUAUGUGUCAUGUACAUAUGUGUCCUGUACUGUACGGAGGACGGGGCAUGUACUCGGUCAUUUUUUUCCUAUUUAUGUAAGCUUACACGUGAUUGUUAUAAACAGAUCUUUAUAUAAAAAAAGAUGUCUUAGACUAUUUAGACAUGACAUGUUAAGUUAGUUGUACGGGACAAUAUUUGUAUGUUACGCUGCAACUUUUAAAUCUCAGCCGUCAAUAUCUAAAAUUAACGACCGUGAUAAUUUAAUCUAUGUGGAUCAACGUGAUGGCUUGUUUGACUUCUGUCAUAAGUAUAUAAUAGAUGUUCUUAUUGCUGAUGGUACUCCUCUUCCUGUUGCUAGUCGAGGCAUUCUUUACACUUCUUCAUUUCAUGUUUCAGAUUUUUCUCAUGUUCCUUGCCUUACCAUGAACUUAUUUUCUACAAGUUAGCUUACUGAUUCAGGUUGUCGUGUGAUACGCCCAUUUUUCAUCAUGCUUUUAUAUCAAUAUUUAUUGCAUUAUGGGCUAUUAUUACACAUUAUAUCAUAAUACUUAUGUCUUUUCUGUCUUAUUUUAUAAGAUUUACACGAAGAGGGAGAAUGCUGACAGCUGGAAUUCUGCACUGGAAAAGGAGCAAACAUUAGAGACCUAUUCUGCACAAUUCCAAAAGUCCUGAAACUCCAUGAAAGUCAGUUUCAGAAUAUAUUAAAAAUAUUGGAUGAAGAAAGCACCAGAGGGGGGCCACCCCACCAGCCACGAGGGUGGAGGGCGCGCCCUACCCCCCUGGGUGCGCCCCCUGCCUCGUGGGCCACCUGGCAGGCCCCCGAUGCCCAUCUUCUGCUAUAUGGUGUCUUUUGCCCUGGAAAAAAUCAUAAGAAAGCUUUCGGGAUGAAGCGUCGCCAUCUCGAGGCGGAACCUGGGCAGAACCAAUCUAGGGCUCUGAUGGAGUUGUUCUGCCGGGGAAACAUCCCUUUGGGAGGGGGAAAUCGUUGCCAUCAUCAUCACCAUCGAUCCUCUCAUCGAGAGGGGGUCAAUCUCCAUCAACAUCUUCAACAACACCAUCUCCUCUCAAACCCUAGUUCAUCUCUUGUAUCUGAUCUUUGUCUCAAAACCUUAGAUUGGUACCCGUGGGUUGCUAGUAGUGUUGAUUACUCCCUGUAGUUGAUGCUAGUUGGUUUAUUAGGUGGAAGAUCAUAUGUUCAGAUUCUUAAUGCAUAUUAAUGCCCCUCUGAUUAUGAACAUGAAUAUGCUUUGUGAGUAGUUACGUUUGUUCCUGAGGACAUGAGAGAAGUCUUGCUAUAAGUAAUCAUGUAAAUUCUGUAUUCGUCCGUAUUUUGAUGAGAUGUAUGUUGUCUCCUCUAGUGGUGUUAUGUGAACGUCGACUACAUGACACUUCACCAUUGUUUGGGCCUAGGGGAACGCAUUGGGAAGUAAUAAGUAGAUGAUGGGUUGCUAGAGUGACAGAAAGUUAAACCCUAGUUUAUGCAUUGCUUCGUAAGGGGCUGAUUUGGAUCCAUAUGUUUCAUGCUAUGGUUAGUUUUACCUUAAUUCUUCUUUCGUAGUUGCGGAUGCUUGCGAGAGGGGUUAACCAUAAGUGGGAUGCUUGUCCAAGGAAGGGCAGUACCCAAGCAUCGGUCCACCCACAUAUCAAAUUAUCAAAGUAACGAACGCGAAUCAUAUGAGCAUGAUGAAAACUAGUUUGACAGUAAUUCCCAUGUGUCCCCGGGAGUGCUUUGCUCUAUAGAAGAGUUUGUCCAGACUUGUCCUUUGCUAUAAAAAGGAUUGGGCCACCUUGCAGCACCUUGUUUACUAUUGUUACUUGUUAUCCGUUACAAAUUACCUUAUCACAAAACUAUCUGUUACCGAUAAUUUCAGUGCUUGCAGAGAAUACCUUACUGAAAACCACUUGUCAUUUCCUUCUGCUCCUCAUUGGGUUCGACACUCUUACUUAUCGAAAGGACUACGAUAGAUCCCCUAUACUUGUGGGUCAUCAUCGCGUCAUUCUUGACGUUGAUUCUUGCACUGUCCAAGAUCGUCACAAGAAGGCUCUGGUUGGAGCUGGCCCUCACCGCCUUGACUCCCAAGGGCCUUGGGAGUUAGACUGGCUUCAUGUUCCUUCCGCUGCCACUACACUCACUAGUACAUCUGCCUUCGCCGCUUCAGCUACCAGCUCUUUCCAGUAGUGGCAUCAUCGACUUGGUCACCUUUGUGGUUCUCGGCUAUCAUAUUUAGUUCGUCGUGGUGUUCUGGGGCCUGUCUCAGGAGAUGUCUCUUUGCAGUGUCAGGGUUGUAGGCUUGGUAAACAGGUUCAGUUACCUUAUCCUACAAGUGAGGCAGUGCCUCAACGCCCUUUUGAUUUAGUUCAUUCCGAUGUGCGGGGACCGGAUCCCUUCUCUUCCAAAGGGGGCCAUCGCUGCUAUAUUAUUUUUAUAGAUGAUUUCCCUCGCUACACUUGGCUUUACUUCAUGUCUUCUCAUAGCGAGGUUCUCUCUAUUUAUGCCGCCAUGGUCCACACUCAGUUCUCUACACCAAUUCGUGUGUUUUGUGCUGAUUCUGUUGGCGAGUAUAUCUCCAAAAUGUUGUGUGGUUUUCUUGCUGAGCAGGGUACUCUUUGUUGGGGAACGUUGCAGAAAAUUAAAAUUUUUCCUACGGUUUCACCAAGAUCCAUCUAUGAGUUCAUCUAAGCAACGAGUCAAGGGAGAGAGUUUGCAUCUACAUACCACUUGUAGAUCGCGUGCAGAAGCUUGCAAGGUGAUGAUGUAGUCGUACUCGACGUGAUCCAAAUCACCGAUGACCAGUGCCGAACGGACGGCACCUCCGCGUUCAACACACGUACGGGACGGGAGACGUCUCCUCCUUCUUGAUCCAGCAAGGGGGAAGGAGAGGUUGAUGAAGAUCCAGCAGCACGACGGCGUGGUGGUGGAUGCAGGGCGUCACAGCAGCAGGGCUUCGCCGAGACUACGAGGGAGAGACGUAACGGGGGGAGAUGGAGGCGCCAGGGGCUGGUGUAUGAAGUCCCUCCUCUCCCCCACUAUAUAUAGGGGUGCCAAGGGGGGGGGGGCGCCGGCCCUAGUAGAUGAGAUCUACUAGGGGGGGCGGCGGCCUAGGGGAGGUUUCCCUCCCCCCCAAGGCACCUAGGGGUGCCUUCCACCACUAGGACUCCUCCUAGGGGGAAACCCUAGGCGCAUGGGCCUAUAGGGGCUGGUGCCCUUGGCCCAUGAAGGCCAAGGCGCACCCCCUACAGCCCAUGUGGCCCCCCGGGACAGGUGGCCCCACCCGGUGGACCCCCGGGACCCUUCCGGUGGUCCCGGUACAAUACCGAUAACCCCGAAACUUGUCCCGAUGCCCGAAAUAGCACUUCCUAUAUAUAAUUCUUUACCUCGGGACCAUUCCGGAACUCCUUGUGACGUCCGGGAUCUCAUCCGGGACUCCGAACAACAUUCGGGUUUCUGCAUAUACAUAUCUUCAUAACCCUAGCGUCACCGAACCUUAAGUGUGUAGACCCUACGGGUUCGGGAGACAUGCAGACAUGACCGAGACGCUCUCAGUCAAUAACCAUCAGCGGGAUCUGGAUACCCAUGAUGGCUCCCACAUGCUCCUCGAUGUUGUCAUCGGAUGAACCACUAUGUCGAGGAUUCGAUCAAACCUUGUAUGCAAUUCCCUUUGUCAAUCGGUACGUUACUUGCCCGAGACUCGAUCGUCGGUAUCCCAAUACCUUGUUCAGUCUCGUUACCGGCAAGUCACUUUACUCGUACCGUAAUGCAUGAUCCCGUGUCCAACACCUUGGUCACAUUGAGCUCAAUAUGAUGAUGCAUUACCGAGUGGGCCCAGAGAUACCUCUCCGUCAUACGGAGUGACAAAUCCCAGUCUCGAUCCGUGUCAACCCAACAGCUACUUUCGGAGAUACCUGUAAUGCACCUUUAUAGUCACCCAGUUACGUUGUGACGUUUGAUACACCCAAGGCACUCCUACGGUAUCCGGGAGUUACACGAUCUCAUGGUCUAAGGAAGAGAUACUUGACAUUGGCAAAGCUCUAGCAAACGAACUAAACGACCUUUGUGCUAUGCUUAGGAUUGGGUCUUGUCCAUCACAUCAUUCUCCUAAUGAUGUGAUCCCGUUAUCAAUGACAUCCAAUGUCCAUAGCUAGGAAAUCAUGACUAUCUGUUGAUCACAACGAGCUAGUCAACUAGAGGCUCACUAGGGACAUAUUGAGGUCUAUGUAUUCACACGUGUAUUACAAUUUCCGGAUAAUACAGUUAUAGCAUGAAUAAAAGACAAUUAUCAUGAACAAUGAAAUAUAAUAAUACUUUUAUUAUUGCCUCUAGGGCAUAUUUCCAACAGUCUCCCACUUGCACUAGAGUCACCAAUCUAGUUACAUUGUGAUGAAUCGAACACCCAUAGAGUUCUGGUGUUGAUCAUGUUUUGCACGCGAGAGAGGUUUAGUCAGCUGAUCUGCGACAUUCAGAUCCGUGUGCACUUUGCAAAUCUCUAUGUCUCCAUCUUGAACAUUUUCACGGAUGGAGUUGAAACGACGCUUGAUGUGCCUGGUCUUCUUGUGAAACCUGGGCUCCUUGGCGAGGGCAAUAGCUCCAGUGUUGUCACAGAAGAGUUUGAUCGGCCCCGACGCAUUGGGUAUGACUCCUAGGUCGGUGAUGAACUCCUUCACCCAAAUCGCUUCAUGUGCUGCCUCCGAGGCUGCCAUGUACUACGCUUCACACGUAGAUCCCGCCACGACGCUCUGCUUGCAGCUGCACCAGCUUACUGCUCCACCAUUCAACAUAUACACGUAUCCGGUUUGUGACUUAGAGUCAUCCAGAUCUGAGUCGAAGCUAGCGUCGACGUAACCCUUUACGACGAGCUCUUCGUCUUCUCCAUAAACGAGAAACAUGUCCUUCGUCCUUUUCAGGUACUUCAGGAUAUUCUUGACCGCUGUCCAGUGUUCCUUGCCGGGAUUACUUUGGUAUCUUGCUACCAAACUUACGGCAAGGUUUACAUCGGGUCUGGUACACAGCAUGGCAUACAUAAUAGAUCCUAUGGCUGAAGCAUAGGGGAUGACACUCAUCUCUUCUUUAUCUUUUGCCGUGGUCGGUGACUGAGCUGAGCUCAGUCUCACACCUUGUAACAUAGGCAAGAACCCCUUCUUGGACUGAUCCAUUCUGAAUCUCUUCAAAAUCUUAUCAAGGUAUGUGCUUUGUGAAAGACCUAUGAGGCGUCUCGAUCUAUCUCUAUAGAUCUUGAUGCCUAAUAUAUAAGCAGCUUCUCCAAGGUCCUUCAUUGAAAAACACUUAUUCAAGUAGGCCUUAAUGCUGUCCAGAAAUUCUAUAUCAUUUCCCAUCAAGAGUAUGUCAUCUACAUAUAAUAUGAGAAAUGCUACAGAGCUCCCACUCACUUUCUUGUAAACGCAGGCUUCUCCAUAAGUCUGCAUAAACCCAAACGCUUUGAUCAUCUCAUCAAAGCGAAUGUUCCAACUCCGAGAUGCUUGCACCAGUCCAUAAAUGGAUUGCUGGAGCUUGCAUACUUUGUUAGCGUUCCGAGGAUCGACAAAACCUUCCGGCUGCAUCAUAUACAGUUCUUCCUUAAGAUGCCCGUUAAGGAAUGCUGUUUUGACGUCCAUCUGCCAUAUCUCAUAAUCAUAGUAUGCGGCAAUUGCUAACAUGAUUCGGACGGACUUUAGCUUCGCUACGGGAGAGAAUGUCUCGUCGUAGUCAAUCCCUUGAACCUGUCGAUAACCCUUAGCGACAAGUCGAGCUUUAUAGAUGGUAAUAUUACCAUCCGCGUCCGUCUUCUUCUUAAAGAUCCAUUUGUUUUCUAUCGCUCGCCGAUCAUCGGGCAAGUCUGUCAAAGUCCAUACUUUGUUUUCAUACAUGGAUUCUAUCUCGGAUUUCAUGGCUUCAAGCCAUUUGUUGGAAUCCGGGCCCGCCAUUGCUUCUUCAUAGUUCGAAGGUUCAUUGUUGUCUAACAACAUGAUUUCCAGGACAGGGUUGCCGUACCACUCUGGUGCGGAACGUGUCCUUGUGGACCUACGAAGUUCAGCAGUAACUUGAUCCGAAGUACCUUGAUCAUCAUCAUUGUUUUCCUCUUCAGUUGGUGUGGGCAUCACAGGAACGGUUUCCUGCGCUACGCCACUUUCCUGCUCAAGAGGUAGUACUUCAUCGAGUUCUACUUUCCUCCCACUUACUUCUUUCGAGAGAAACUCUUUUUCCAGAAAGCAUCCGUUCUUGGCUACAAAGAUCUUGCCUUCGGAUCUUAAGUAGAAGGUAUACCCUACAGUUUCCUUAGGGUAUCCUAUGAAUACGCAUUUUUCCGACUUGGGUUCGAGCUUUUCAGGUUGAAGUUUCUUGACAUAAGCAUCGCAUCCCCAAACUUUCAGAAACAACAGCUUAGGUUUCUUUCCAAACCAUAAUUCAUACGGUGUCGUCUCAACGGAUUUAGACGGUGCCCUAUUUAAAGUGAAUGUAGCUGUCUCUAGAGCGUAUCCCCAAAAUGAUAGCGGUAAAUCGGUAAGAGACAUCAUAGACCGCACCAUAUCCAAUAGAGUGCGAUUACGACGUUCGGACACACCGUUUCGCUGAGGUGUUCCAGGCGGCGUGAGCUGUGAAACGAUUCCACAUUUCCUUAAGUGUGUACCAAAUUCGUGACUUAAGUAUUCUCCUCCACGAUCUGAUCGUAAGAAUUUUAUCUUUCGGUCACGUUGAUUCUCCACCUCAUUCUGAAAUUCCUUGAACUUUUCAAAGGUCUCAGACUUGUGUUUCAUUAAGUAGACAUACCCAUAUCUACUCAAGUCAUCUGUGAGAGUGAGAACAUAACGAUAUCCUCCGCGAGCCUCAACGCUCAUUGGACCGCACACAUCGGUAUGUAUGAUUUCCAACAAGUUGGUUGCUCGCUCCAUUGUUCCGGAGAACGGAGUCUUGGUCAUUUUGCCCAAGAGGCAUGGUUUGCACGUGUCAAACGAUUCAUAAUCAAGAGACUCUAAAAGUCCAUCGGCAUGGAGCUUCUUCAUGCGCUUGACACCAAUGUGACCAAGGCGGCAGUGCCACAAGUAUGUGGGACUAUCGUUAUCAACUUUAAAUCUUUUGGCAUCUACACUAUGAACAUGUGUAAUAUUACGCUCGAGAUUCAUUAAGAAUAAACCAUUGACCAUCGGAGCAUGACCAUAAAACAUAUCUCUCAUAUAAAUCGAACAACCAUUAUUCUCAGACUUAAAUGAGUAGCCAUCUCGUAUUAAACGAGAUCCUGAUACAAUGUUCAUGCUCAAACUUGGCACUAAAUAACAAUUAUUAAGGUUCAAAACUAAUCCCGUAGGUAAAUGUAGAGGCAGGGUGCCGACGGCGAUCACAUCGACUCUGGAACCAUUCCCGACGCGCAUCGUCACCUCGUCCUUUGCCAGUCUCCGUUUAUUCCGCAGCUCCUGCUGUGAGUUACAAAUAUGAGCAACGGCACCGGUAUCAAAUACCCAGGAGUUACUACGAUUACUGGUAAGGUACACAUCAAUCACAUGUAUAUCAAAUAUACCUUUGGUGUUGCCGGCCUUCUUAUCCGCUAAGUAUUUGGGGCAGUUCCGCUUCCAGUGACCCUUCCCCUUGCAAUAAAAGCACUCAGUCUCAGGCUUGGGUCCAUUCUUUGACUUCUUCCCGGUAACUGGCUUACCAGGCGCGGCAACAUCUUUGCCGUCCUUCUUGAAGUUCUUCUUACCCUUGCCCUUCUUGAACUUAGUGGUCUUAUUGACCAUCAACACUUGAUGUUCUUUCUUGAUUUCAGCCUCUGCUGACUUCAGCAUCGAGAACACUUCAGGAAUGGUCUUUUCCAUCCCCUGCAUGUUGUAGUUCAUCACAAAGCUCUUGUAGCUUGGUGGGAGCGACUGGAGGAUUCUGUCAAUGACCGCCUCAUCUGGGAGGUUAAUGUUCAGAUGGGUCAUACGGUUGUGCAACCCAGACAUCUUCAGGAUGUGCUCACUGACAGAACUGUUUUCCUCCAUCUUACAACUGUAGAACUUGUCGGAGACAUCAUAUCUCUCGACCCGGGCAUGAGCUUGAAAAACUAGUUUCAGCUCUUUGAACAUCUCAUAUGCUCCGUGGUGCUCAAAACGCUUUUGGAGCCCCGGUUCUAUGCUGUAAAGCAUGCCGCACUGAACGAGGGAGUAAUCAUCAGCACGAGACUGCCAAGCAUUCAUAAUGUCUUGGUUCUCUGGGACGGGAGCGUCACCUAGCGGUCCUUCUAGGACAUAUUGUUUCCUGGCAGCUAUGAGGAUGAUCCUCAGGUUCCGGACCCAGUCCGUAUAGUUGCUGCCAUCAUCUUUCAGCUUGGUUUUCUCUAGGAACGCGUUGAAGUUCAUGUUGACAUUAGCAUUGGCCAUUGAUCUACAAGACAUAUUUGCAAAGGUUUUAGACUAAGUUCAUGAUAAUAAAGUUCUAAUCAAAUUAUGAACUCCCACUUAGAUUAGACAUCCCUCUAGUCAUCUAAGUGUUACACGAUCCGAGUCGACUAGGCCGUGUCCGAUCAUCACGUGAGACGGACUAGUCAUCGUCGGUGAACAUUCUCAUGUUGAUCGUAUCUUCCAUAUGACUCGUGUUCGACCUUUCGGUCUCCGUGUUCCGAGGCCAUGUCUGCACAUGCUAGGCUCGUCAAGUUAACCCUAAGUGUUUUCGCUGUGUAAAACUGUCUUACACCCGUUGUAUGUGAACGUAAGAAUCCAUCACACCCGAUCAUCACGUGGUGCUUAGAAGCGACGAACUGUAGCAACGGUGCACAGUUAGGGGAGAACACUUCUUGAAAUUUUAUAAGGGAUCAUCUUAUUUACUACCGUCGUCCUAAGUAAACAAGAUGCAUAAACAUAAUAAACAUCAAAUGCAAUUAUAUAGUUGUGACAUGAUAUGGCCAAUAUCAUAUAGCUCCAUUGAUCUUCAUCUUCGGGGCUCCAUGAUCAUCUUGUCACCGGCUUGACACCAUGAUCUCCAUCAUCAUGAUCUCCAUCAUCGUGUCUUCAUGAAGUUUUCACGCCAACGACUACUUCUACUUCUAUGACUAACGUUUAGCAAUAAAGUAAAGUAGUUUACAUGACGUUAUUCAAUGACACGCAGGUCAUACAAAAAAAUAAAGACAACUCCUAUGGCUCCUGCCGGUUGUCAUACUCAUCGACAUGCAAGUUGUGAAUCCUAUUACAAAGAACAUGAUCUCAUACAUCACAAUUCAUCAUUCAUCACAACUUCUGGCCAUAUCACAUCACAUGAUCAAUCGCUGCAAAAACAAGUUAGACGUCCUCUAAUUGUUGUUGCAUCUUUUACGUGGCUGCAAUUGGAUUCUAGCAAGAACGUUUUCUUACCUACGAAUCACCACAACGUGAUUUUGUCAACUUCUAUUUACCCUUCAUAAGGGCCCUGUUCAUCGAUUCCGCUCCAACUAAGGUGGGAGAGACAGACACCCGCCAGCCACCUUAUGCAACUAGUGCAUGUCAGUCGGUGGAACCGGUCUCAGUAAGCGUACGUGUAAGGUUGGUCCGGGCCGCUUCAUCCCACAAUACCGUUGAGCAAGAAAAGACUAGUAGAGGCAAGUAAGAUGACAAAAUCCACGCCCACAACAAAAUUGUGUUCUACUCGUGCAAAGAGAACUACGCAUAGACCUAGCUCAUGAUGCCACUGUUGGGGAACGUUGCAGAAAAUUAAAAUUUUUCCUACGGUUUCACCAAGAUCCAUCUAUGAGUUCAUCUAAGCAACGAGUCAAGGGAGAGAGUUUGCAUCUACAUACCACUUGUAGAUCGCGUGCGGAAGCUUGCAAGGUGAUGAUGUAGUCGUACUCGACGUGAUCCAAAUCACCGAUGACCAGCGCCGAACGGACGGCACCUCCGCGUUCAACACACGUACGGGACGGGAGACGUCUCCUCCUUCUUGAUCCAGCAAGGGGGAAGGAGAGGUUGAUGAAGAUCCAGCAGCACGACGGCGUGGUGGUGGAUGCAGGGCGUCACAGCAGCAGGGCUUCGCCGAGACUACGAGGGAGAGACGUAACGGGGGGAGAUGGAGGCGCCAGGGGCUGGUGUAUGAAGUCCCUCCUCUCCCCCACUAUAUAUAGGGGUGCCAAGGGGGGGGGCGCCGGCCCUAGUAGAUGAGAUCUACUAGGGGGGGCGGCGGCCUAGGGGAGGUUUCCCUCCCCCCCAAGGCACCUAGGGGUGCCUUCCACCACUAGGACUCCUCCUAGGGGGAAACCCUAGGCGCAUGGGCCUAUAGGGGCUGGUGCCCUUGGCCCAUGAAGGCCAAGGAGCACCCCCUACAGCCCAUGUGGCCCCCCGGGACAGGUGGCCCCACCCGGUGGACCCCCGGGACCCUUCCGGUGGUCCCGGUACAAUACCGAUAACCCCGAAACUUGUCCCGAUGCCCGAAAUAGCACUUCCUAUAUAUAAUUCUUUACCUCCGGACCAUUCCGGAACUCCUUGUGACGUCCGGGAUCUCAUCCGGGACUCCGAACAACAUUCGGGUUUCUGCAUAUACAUAUCUUCAUAACCCUAGCGUCACCGGACCUUAAGUGUGUAGACCCUACGGGUUCGGGAGACAUGCAGACAUGACCGAGACGCUCUCAGUCAAUAACCAUCAGCGGGAUCUGGAUACCCAUGAUGGCUCCCACAUGCUCCUCGAUGUUGUCAUCGGAUGAACCACUAUGUCGAGGAUUCGAUCAAACCCUGUAUGCAAUUCCCUUUGUCAAUCGGUACGUUACUUGCCCGAGACUCGAUCGUCGAUAUCCCAAUACCUUGUUCAGUCUCGUUACCGGCAAGUCACUUUACUCGUACCGUAAUGCAUGAUCCCGUGUCCAACACCUUGGUCACAUUGAGCUCAAUAUGAUGAUGCAUUACCGAGUGGGCCCAGAGAUACCUCUCCGUCAUACGGAGUGACAAAUCCCAGUCUCGAUCCGUGUCAACCCAACAGCUACUUUUGGAGAUACCUGUAAUGCACCUUUAUAGUCACCCAGUUACGUUGUGACGUUUGAUACACCCAAGGCACUCCUACGGUAUCCGGGAGUUACACGAUCUCAUGGUCUAAGGAAGAGAUACUUGACAUUGGCAAAGCUCUAGCAAACGAACUAAACGACCUUUGUGCUAUGCUUAGGAUUGGGUCUUGUCCAUCACAUCAUUCUCCUAAUGAUGUGAUCCCGUUAUCAAUGACAUCCAAUGUCCAUAGCCAGGAAAUCAUGACUAUCUGUUGAUCACAACGAGCUAGUCAACUAGAGGCUCACUAGGGACAUAUUGAGGUCUAUGUAUUCACACGUGUAUUACGAUUUCCGGAUAAUACAGUUAUAGCAUGAAUAAAAGACAAUUAAUGAAAUAUAAUAAUACUUUUAUUAUUGCCUCUAGGGCAUAUUUCCAACACUCUUGCGCAGUUCUCUUGUCCUGGUGCUCACGCUCAGAAUGGCGUGGCUGAGUGCAAGCAUAACCACCUUCUUGAGACAGCUCGUGCGAUGAUGUUUGCCGCCUCUCUUCCGCCUCAUUUCUGGGCUGAGGUUGUCUCCACUUCCACAUAUCUCAUAAACAUUCAACCCUCAUCUGCUCUACAGUGAGGUAUUCAUCUAGAGCGUCUUUUUGAUCAUUAUGCUGAUUAUUUGCUCUUCGAUUGUUUGGUUGUGUUUGUUAUGUUCUCCUUGCCCCCCGAGAACGCACCAAACUAACUGCUCAGUCCGUCGAGUGUGUUUUUCUGGGCUACAGUGAUGAGCAUAAGGGUUAUCGGUGUUGGGAUCCUAUCGGUCAACGGAUCCGUAUUUCUAGGAAUGUGACUUUUGAUGAAUCUCGUCCCUUCUAUCCACGACCAUCCUAUUUGACCUUUUCAGUAGAGGAUAUAUCUUUUCUCACGUUUCCUGAUACACCUCCCUCUGUGCCUCAUUUUCCUACUCCUUCUCGUCCCACUAUUGCAGACCUGACACCGUCUUCUCCUAUCGUUCCUUCGCCUUCCUUAUUGCAUGACACCCCACCUUCAUCACCGAUGUCUUCUCCAUCUCCAUCACCUCUGGUGGUUCCUUCUCAUCCCACUUUUCCGUUUCAUUAUACUCAUCGUUGACGUGUUAUGGAUGAAUCUACUGACGUGCCAUCUACUUCUGGUGCACCAUCUUCCUCGUCCCAGUCGACUUAUGGUCUUCGGGCUCAACCUUGCCUUCCUCCUGACCACUAUUCUCCUAAAAAAUUUGGCCUUUUGAUUGUACUUGGGCCUACCUCUUAUCGCGAUGCUGUUGUUCAUCCUGAAUGGCAGUUUGCGAUGGCAGAGGAGAUUGCUGCACUUGAGCGCAACAACACAUGGGAUCUGGUUUCUCUUCCUCCCCGUAUUUGUCCCAUCACUUGUAAGUGGGUCUAUAAGAUUAAAACUUGCUCUGAUGGUUCUCUUGAGCGUUAUAAAGCUCGUCUUGUGGCUUGUGGCUUUCAGUAGGAGCAUGGUCGUGAUUAUGAUGAGACUUUUGCUCCUGUGGCCCAUAUGACCAUUGUCCGCACACUUCUCGCCGUGGCCUCUGUUCGCCACGGGUGUGUGUCACAGCUUGAUGUUAAAAAUGCCUUUCUUAAUGAUGAGUUGCGUGGGAGGUUUAUAUGCAGCCACCACCUGGGUAUUCAGCUCCUGAUGGCAUGGUUUGUCAUCAUCGUCGCUCUCUAUAUGGCCUUAAGCAAGCCCCUCGUGCUUGGUUUGAGUGUUUUGCCUCUAUGGUCACCGUUGCUGGGUUUUCACCCAAUGAUCAUGAUCCAGUUUUUCACCCAGUGAUCACGAUCCAGUGUUGUUUGUCCACCUUUCUGCUUGUGGUCGCACUCUUCUUCUUCUAUAUGUUGAAGACAUGAUCAUCACCGGCGACAAUUCUGAGUACAUUGCCUUUGUCAAGGCACGUCUUAAUGAGCAGUUCCUUAUGUCUGAUCUUAGUCCGCUUCGUUAUUUUCUUGGGAUUGAGGUUUUCUUCACCUCUGAUGCCUAUUUUAUUUCCCAAGAAAAGUAUAUCCAGGAUCUUCUUACUCGUGCGACUCUUACUGAUGAGCACACUACUGAGACUCCUAUGGAGCUCAAUGUUCACCUUCGUGCUUCUGAUGGUGUGCCCUUGUCUGAUCCGACAUGUUAUCGUCAUCUUGUUGGGAGUCUUGUGUAUCUUGUUGUCACUCGUCCGGAUAUCUCCUAUCCUGUCCAUAUUCUGAGUCAGUUUGUUUCAACUCCCACUUCAGUUCACUAUAGUCACCUUCUUUGUGUUCUAUGAUAUCUUCGUGGCACGAUCUCUCGUUGUCUCGCCCCGUUCCAGCUCGUUACAGCUCCAGGCCUAUUCGGAUGCUACGUGGGCUAGUGAUCCUACAUAUCGCCGUUCACUUUCUACCUACUGGUUCUUUCUUGGUGGUUCCCUCAUUUCCUGGAAGAUGAAGAAACAUACUGCGGUUUCUCGUUCGAAUGCAGAGGCUGAGUUGCGAGCUAUGGCUCUUCCGACGACAGAGAUGACCUGGUUACAAUAGUUACUGGAGGAUUUUGGUGUUUCUGUUACUACACCUACCACCCUCCUGUCGGACAGCACAUGUGCUAUCAGUAUUGUGCGGGACCCUGUGAAGCAUGAUCUUACCAAACACAUUGGUGUUGAUGCUUCUUAUGUGUGCGCCGCUGUGCGGGACCAUGUUCUUGCUCUUCAGUAUGUGCCUUCUGAGUUACAUCUCGCGGACUUCUUUACGAAGGCUCAGACUAGAGCGCAAAAUGGUUCACCUCUCCAAAUUCAGUGUUGUGGAUCCACCAUGAGUUUGAGGGGGAUGGUGUUAGAGUUAUAUUAAUAUUAUCUUUUGGCCUUUUCCAUUCUAGUCUAUUGGCAUCCUCUUGUAGCCUUUUGGCAUCAUCAUGUAUGUGUAUAUAUGUUGGAUUCGGCCUCCUAAUAAUACAAGUUCCAUAUCCAUAACAGCAGGGAGCUGGAGCGCCUCCUUGCGUCGCUUUCGACAGGGCACCGACGGCCUGUCGUGCAUAAGGUCGACAUGGCGAGCGCGAGCUAGAGCCGGGUUGGGCGAGAUCGAGGUCAAGAAUGCAGACACCUCGGCUCGGCGUCGACAUGGCAGAAGCAGUCCCUUCUUGGAUUCCAGAGAGCUCAAUCAGGUCGUCGGAGGCACUCGCCCGGUCCUCUGCAGUGCACAGUUCCUUGGUGAGUGCGGCAUGCAGCCUAUCCUAGCAGUAGACAGUGACCUGAGCGCCACCAUGGUCGUGGUACACGGCGACAAAGUGUCGCGGGAAGGCGGAAUGAGGUCGCUGAUAUGGUAGAAGCAGGGGACGGCGGCAAUGGCUUCCUCCAUCUCCGGGCAAUGUCCGCAGAAGGACUGAAGAGUUGAGACAUGAGAAGCUCCUGCAUGUGCCACCGGGGACCGUCGCGGUGUCGGUGCUCGGUGGAAACCAACGUGGAGAGGAGAGUGGGCGGUCCAACAUCGGCAGAGGCGAAGAAGAGGCCCUCGAAUCAGCGGAGGUGAUGCUAGCUGCUGCUGUCGCUGGCGACGUAGCAGGUGCUCCCUCAUGCGGACCCCUCUUCAUCAAGCCGGCAUCCCAACGAUGGCUACGUAGCAGGCUAUCCGAGUGCACGGCCGUCUCCGCGCGCGUCAACCUCUGUAGCCAGCCACCACUCAUGCUCGGCCUGCUGCCGGUGACGCCCAUCUCCAGCGCCGGCAACCGGAACGCCCAUAGUCCCACCAAUGGCCGACUCCAGGUUGUCGGCCCUGACGUCGCUCACCACGUCCAUGUCGUUCUGCGUCAGGACUCUUCCCCGGCCGGUGAUGAGGCGGUAGGCCUCAUUGUAGCCGAGCUUGUUGCAGCCGAGCACGGGCCUGUCGCGGCCGUCGUAGGCCUGCACUUGCAUGCACGGCUUCUCCUCCGCCGUCAGGGCCUUGUUCAGCGGGAACGGCUAGCCAUGGCGCCAGCUCUCUCUUGCAUGGCAUGAGCAGGUGGUGCUGCUUUAGCACCCGGUCUGUCUUGCGCGCUUCCCAUAGACACACACCAUUCGGGACGCGCCCAGGUCCCUGAUGUUCCAUAGGGCGGCGUGCACCACGCCGAUCGCGUCAAGCGAUGGGUCGUCCUCCGUGGCUGACGCUGUCUCAGAACACGCGGUCGACCAGAGACGACACUUCUUGCUUGGAGAAGAUUAGGCCUGUUAGACUAUGUAUAGCUUCUGUACUUAUGUACGUAUUGUAACACAUCCAUUAUAUAUAAUGAGAUAAGCCACCCCUAGAGGGUUGUGAUGGUUCCCCAAAACUUAUUGUCUUACAUGGUAUCACGCUAGGUUACGAUCGCUUCCGCUUCCAAACCCUAAUACCCGCACCGCCGCCUUCACCGCCGCCGCCUUCACCGCCGCCAUGUCGAGCGCCGCCACCACCGGUUCCACUGCUGCGGGGUUCCUCCCGGCCUCUCUUGCGGCUCUGCUCAACCUCCCGCUCGAUGCCGUCGCCGUUCCGGCUCCGAUCGGGACCAGGAACAUCGGCUCCGUCUACUCCACGCCGACGGCGCCCUCGCUUGGGCGCGACCUCGUGGUCCACACCGCGGCGCCGCCGUCCGCUGCGGACUCCGCGGGCGUCGUCCCGCCGCUCCUGCCACAAGCGGAUCACACCGCCCCGCUGGCGGGGUUGGCGGCGUCCGCCCCGGCCGCGGGCCUUGCGGCGUCCGACCCGGCCGCGAGCUUUGCGGCAUCCGCCCUGGCUGCGGUCCCGUCUCCUCCCGCAUCGGCUUUGGUGCCUCCGGCUGCCUCCAUGGUGUUUGCACCCUAGGCAGCCCCCUCGAUGGGAUCGUCUUCGCCGCCGCCGUUUCACUUCGGUCAUCUCAUCACCAUCAAGCUCUCCGCCGACAACUACAUCUUCUGGCGUGCGCAGGUUCUCCCGCUCUUGGGGAGUCACUACCUGCUAGGCUACGUCGACGGAUCGCUUCCCUGCCCACCCGCACUGGUAGACAGCGUGCACGGUCCGGUCUACAAUCCGGCCCAUCGCGUCUGGACGGAGCAGGACCAGGCGAACCUCUCCUCCAUCCAGGGGUCGCUCUCGCCGGCAGUUGCCGGACUUGUUGUCUUCGCGAAGACGUCUCAUGAGGCCUGGACCAUCCUUGAGCGAACCUUUGCCGCGCAGUCCCAGGCUCGUGUCUCUGCACUCCGUCGUCAGCUUGGAGAGUGUCAGAAGCUUGACUCCACUGCCACUGAGUUCUACAACAAGGUCAAGGGCCUCGCCGACACAUUGGCCUCCAUUGGACAUCCCCUCACCGACUCCGAGUUCAACUCGUUUAUUGUCAAUGGUCUUGAUGAGGAGUAUGAUGCCUUAGUCGAGAUCAUCAACGAGUGGGGCAACUCGACACCCAUGCUGGCACACGAGGUUUUCUCUCGGCUCCUUCUCACUGAGCAACGGGUCGAGACACGCCGCUCCAGGGGCACUGGCUCCCUCUCGGCCAACGCCGCCACCAAGGGUGGCCGCUCUUCUUCAUCACCCCGGUCUCCCUUGGGGCUGCCACCGUCGCCCACCUCGGCCCCCCACCUACUGCGACCUUACCGGGGGCUGGCGGUCCACGUGUGUGCCAGCUUUGUGGCCGCGAUGGGCACUGGGCCUCCAAGUGUCAUAAGCGCUUCCAGCGAAGCUUCCUUGGUCUUGGCAAUGACGGCAAAGAUACACGCAACAAUGCCCGUCAGGUCGCCAUGGCUGAUCGUCCCGCGCCGCAGAAGCAACAGGGACACACUCAGUCCUACUCCAUCGAUCCACACUGGUACAUGGACUCUGGGGCGACAGAGCAUCUGACCAGCGAGAUGGGGAAGCUUCACACUUGUGAACCCUAUCAUGGCUCCGACAAGAUCCACACCGCCAAUGGAGCAGGUAUGCACAUCUCUCAUAUUGGUCAAGCAUCUCUUCUCACUAGACAUGCCAAUAGGAGUCUUCAGCUUCGCAAUGUUCUUCGAGUUCCAUCUGUGACCCGUAAUCUUCCUUCAGUUCCUAAACUCACACGUGAUAAUAAUGUGCUUUGUGAAUUUCACCCUUUUGAUCUUUUUAUUAAGGAUCGGGGCACGAGGGACAUUCUUCUUAGUGGGCGGUUGUGCCAGGGCCUCUACCGUCUGGAGCAUCCUGGCGUCGCCCGUGUUUUCAGUGGAGUUCGGGUCUCUCCGUCACGCAGGCAUGCUCGUCUUGGUCACCCGGCCACACCUAUUGUCCGUCAUAUUUUGCGUCGUCAUGAGCUUCCUAGUUUGUCUAGUAAUAAAGAUGUAGCAGUGUGUGAUGCUUGUCAGCAGGGGAAGAGUCAUCAACUUCCUUUUUCGGAGUCCAGUCGUGAGGUGAAACAUCCUUUAGAACUUGUGUUUUCAGAUGUAUGGGGUCCUGCUCAGACUUCUGUCAGUGGUCAUAAUUACUAUAUCAGUUUCGUUGAUGCUUAUAGUCGCUUUACCUGGCUUUACCUUAUUAAACGCAAAUCUGAUGUGUUUGAUAUUCUUGUUCAGUUUCAAAAACAUGUUGAACGUCUUCUCAAGCACAAAAUUGUUCAUGUCCAGUCGGACUGGGGGGGCGAGUAUCGCAACCUCAACUCCUUCUUUCAGUCGCUUGGGAUAGCUCAUCGUUUAGCAUGUCCACAUACACAUCAGCAGAAUGGUUCAGUCGAACGUAAGCAUCGUCAUAUUGUUGAAGCUGGUCUUACUCUUUUGGCCCAUGCAUCUGUUCCGUUUCGGUUUUGGAGUGAUGCUUUCACCACUGCAUGCUUUCUCAUCAACCGUACUCCCACUCGUGUUUUAAACAUGAAGACUCCCAUUGAGGUUCUCCUUAAUGAACAACCUGAUUAUACCUUCUUCAAGGUAUUUGGGUGUGCUUGCUGGCCGCAUCUUCGUCCAUAUAAUAAGCGCAAGCUUGAGUUUCGUUCUAAGAAGUGUGUUUUUCUUGGCUAUAGCUCUCUUCAUAAAGGUUACAAAUGUCUUCAUGUUCCCACUAAUCGUGUCUAUAUAUCUCGGGACGUCGUGUUUGAUGAGCAUGUUUUUCCCUUUGCCAAACUUCCUGUGUCCACUGUCGAACCACCAUCUCUGCAUUCAUCCUCUGUUGCUUCUGACCAAUUUGAUGAUGUUGCAUACUCUCCUUUGCUGUUACCUAACCAUGGUGCCGGAACCGGACGUGGGGCUCGUUUGGAGCUGUUGGAGGAUUCACCAUCAUCAUCGCCGCCUUCUGAUGGGCACGUCGAUCGCCCUAUGUUGCAUGGCAUCGAUUCGCGUGCCCAUGCAUGGUCACCCGAAGAGCCCGUCGCGCCGAGCAUCUCCACUGCUCGGUCCGCUACGCCAGCGACCGCCGAGUCUCCAGCGGCUCGGCCCUCUUCGCCAGCGGCCGCCGAGUCUUCAGCGGCUCGGCCUGUCACGCCGUCUUCGCCCGCGGCUCGGCCCGUCACGCCGUCUUCGCCUGCAGCUCGGGUCCGCGACGCCGUCCUCACGUCGCCUUCAUCCGCGGAUCGGCCCGCGACACCGGCCGCGCCACGGCCCACUAUGUCGGGCUUGCCAUCGGCCCGGUAUGUGACGCCGGCGUCGCCAGCUGCUUCGUCUGCUCUGCCGGUUUCGCCAGUGGGCCGGCCUUCUUCGCCGACCGAGCCCGAGGCUAUUGUGUCUGGCUCCUUGUCACCGGCUGACUCGUCAAUGUCGCCGUCCUCCAGCCCAUUGCAGGCUGCUCCGUCGACCUCGGUGGUUCCUGUGUCCCGACCACAUACACGCAGUCGCAGUGGCAUUUUCAAACCUAAGGAACGUAAGGAUGGUACGGUUGCUUGGUUGGCUGCUUGUUUGGCUGCUGCUGUUGCGGAUCCAUCUUCUGAGCCUCGCUCAUAUCAGGCUGCCCUGCGCAUUCCACAUUGGCGAGAGGCUAUGGAGCAGGAGUUUCAUGCUCUCCUUCGUAACAAGACAUGGACUCUCGUUCCUCCACCACCACGGGUAAAUGUUAUUGACUCAAAAUGGGUAUUCAAAGUGAAGAAGCAUUCGGAUGGAUCUAUUGAGCGUUACAAAGCGCGACUUGUUGCUCGCGGUUUUCGGCAGCGCCAUGGUCUUGACUAUGAGGACACCUUCAGUCCUGUCGUCAAGCCUACCACUAUUCGGCUUCUUCUCUCCAUUGAUGUUUCUCGUGGUUGGUCACUUCGUCAACUUGAUGUGCAGAAUGCUUUUCUACAUGGAUUUUUGGAGGAAGAGGUUUAUAUGAAACAGCCGCCUGGUUUCUCUGAUCCUGAUCGUCCUGACUAUAUCUGUCGUCUCUCCAAAGCACUAUAUGGUUUGAAGCAAGCUCCUCGUGCCUGGCAUGCCCGCCUUGCCUCUGCCCUUCGUGCUCAUGGGUUUGUGCCGUCCACUGCUGACACUUCAUUAUUUCUUCUACAGAAGCCAGAAGUCACCAUGUAUCUUUUGGUAUAUGUCGAUGAUAUUAUCCUUGUCAGCUCUUCUCAGUAUGCUGCUGAUGCUCUUGUCUGCUCUCUUGGUGCUGAUUUUGCGGUCAAAGAUCUUGGGAAGCUUCACUACUUUCUUGGAGUUGAGGUCACUUCUCGUGCUACUGGUCUUGUCCUUACGCAGAAGAAGUACUCCUUGGAGUUGUUACAAAGAGCGGGCAUGCUGAAGUGCAAACCGACCACCACACCCAUGUCGUCUACCGACAAGAUAACAGCUGUUGAUGGUGAGCUUUUGUCUCCUGCGGAUGCCACAGAGUACAGGAGCAUUGUUGGUGGACUUCAGUACUUGACGAUCACGCGACCAGAUAUCUCUUAUGCUGUUAACAGGGUUUGUCAGUAUCUUCAGGCUCCCAGAGAUACUCAUUGGGCUGCUGUUAAACGCAUUCUUCGUUAUGUUCAGUUCACCCUAACAUUUGGUAUGCAUAUUUGGCCGACUUCCUCUCGGGUCCUUUCGGCCUUCUCUGAUGCAGAUUGGGCUGGUAGCCCAGAUGACAGGCGAUCCACGGGGGGUUAUGCGGUAUUCUUUGGCCCUAAUUUGAUCGCCUGGAGUGCUCGGAAACAGGCUACUAUCUCACGUAGCAGUACUGAAGCUGAGUACAAGGCUGUGGCUAAUGCUACUGCAGAGAUUAUUUGGGUGCAGUCUUUGCUUCAGGAGUUGGGUUUGUCUCAACCACAGCCUCCUAUUCUUUGGUGUGAUAACAUCGGUGCUACAUACCUUUCUGCAAAUCCAGUAUUUCAUGCCCGAACGGAACACAUUGAAGUUGACUAUCACUUUGUACGGGAACGCGUAUCACAGAAGCAACUCCAGAUCAAGUUUAUCUCAUCUAAGGAUCAACUUGCAGACAUCUUCACUAAGCCUUUACCUCUACCACAGUUUGAGGCUUGUAGGCGCAAUCUUACCCUUCUCAGUUCUUUAGAAAGUGGCUAAGAUUGAGGGAGGGUGUUAGACUAUGUAUAGCUUCUGUACUUAUGUACGUAUUGUAACACAUCCAUUAUAUAUAAUGAGAUAAGCCACCCCUAGAGGGUUGUGCUGGUUCCCCAAAACUUAUUGUCUUACAAGGCCCGGCGGAAGGCGACAUGAGGCCGGAGAGCGAUUUGUAGCAGGAACACGAGCACGGCCGUUUUGUACGCGAUUGAUGAAGGCUGCUUGGAUUCCAGGAGGACGACCCCGCCGGCCUCGACCAGAACGCACAACGCUAGGAGGAACCAUCAACGCAGAUGAGUAAGCAUUACAAACCGUGAUGGAUGAAACAGCAGUAGGAAGGCCCAUAUUUAUAGGAGAUCCGUUAGAAUUGAAAACCAAAUUGAACACAACAUCCUGGACGCGAAACGACCAGAACAACCCAUCUAGGCCAAUGGCGCACGUGUACUGUAUCACAGUCAAAAUGCAAUCAGCUAGUGUCAUGGCGGCCUUCCAGUAGAACAAUGAAGCACAUGGGAAAAAGUGGCUGAUCCGCCGAUGCAAACACGGCGGCAUGCAGGCACACACAUGCAUGCAGGAGAAAGAAAAUAAGAGGAAGGAAAAAAAACAAAGCGGCAGACGGGCAUGCACUGAAUGACAACAAAACACUGGUAUACACACAUGCAGCCCAAUGAGAACUGAAGAAUCCGGCAGAAAUGCACAUCAAACUGAAAACCUGCUAGAGACACCCAAUAACGUACCUGCUCAUAUCCCCUAGUAAAUAACGUGUCACUGCCUCAUUGACCAACUUUUCUCUGAUAGAAAAAGUAAAAAAAAACAGGAAAAAAGAAACCUAGCAAGGUUUAGUAUAUUAAGAAUAAGUGAAGCACUAGAGCAACUGCCUAGCUCAAAAGAUAUGAGUGAAGAACUUAGAGUAUUCUAAUAAAUUUACGAUUAAUGUGUGUCCCUCUCAAAAGGUGUGUACAACAAGG